Molecule: microRNA precursor, 96 nt
Organism: Nicotiana attenuata
Lineage: Eukaryota; Viridiplantae; Streptophyta; Magnoliopsida; Solanales; Solanaceae
Rfam family: MIR6152 microRNA precursor family
Source: Rfam
UGGACAGAUUAUUGUAUUCGACUGUAUUCACGGCGUGAAAUAGGGGAUUACAUUAUUUUUAAACAGAAAGUGAAUUAAUUAACAUAAUAAACUCCU